UAACUCUGUUCAGGUAUAAUUCUACCCCUG
This 30-nucleotide non-coding RNA is filed under the name Rattus norvegicus (Norway rat). The record is from RNAcentral. Lineage: Eukaryota; Metazoa; Chordata; Mammalia; Rodentia; Muridae.